CACGUAGUUAGCCGUGGCUUCCUCCUCAGGUACCGUCACUAUCGUCCCUGAAGACAGAGCUUUACAACCCGAAGGCCGUCAUCACUCACGCGGCGUUGCUGCAUCAGGGUUUCCCCCAUUGUGCAAUAUUCCCCACUGCUGCCUCCCGUAGGAGUCUGGGCCGUGUCUCAGUCCCAAUGUGGCCGAUCACCCUCUCAGGUCGGCUACGCAUCGUCGCCUUGGUGAGCCGUUACCUCACCAACUAGCUAAUGCGCCGCGGGCCCAUCUCAUAGCGGAUUGCUCCUUUAAUUGCUACUUCAUGCGAAGCUACAAUCUUAUGCGGUAUUAAUCUCCCUUUCGGAAGGCUAUUCCCCUCUAUGAGGCAGGUUGCCCACGUGUUACUCACCCGUCCGCCGCUAGCUUUUGUUCCGAAGAACUCCACUCGCUCGACUUGCAUGUGUUAGGCACGCCGCCAGCGUUCGUCCUGAGCCAGGACUACGAAACUCU
This 486-nucleotide ribosomal RNA is filed under the name uncultured Clostridium sp. Its description in RNAcentral is "partial 16S ribosomal RNA". Lineage: Bacteria; Bacillati; Bacillota; Clostridia; Eubacteriales; Clostridiaceae. The record is from RNAcentral.